Molecule: non-coding RNA, 1088 nt
Filed under: Anolis meridionalis
Lineage: Eukaryota; Metazoa; Chordata; Lepidosauria; Squamata; Anolidae
Description: partial contains 12S small subunit ribosomal RNA, tRNA-Val, and 16S large subunit ribosomal RNA
Rfam family: Microsporidia small subunit ribosomal RNA (bases 5-945)
Source: RNAcentral
GACACAAAGUUUUGGUCCUAAACUUACUGUUAUUUUUUACCAAAAUUAUACAUGCAAGUAUCUGCACACCAGUGAAAAUGCCCACUAAAAUUAGAUGGAGCAGGUAUCAGGCACGAACCAUCAGCCAAAGACACCUUGUUUUACCACACCCCCACGGGUAAUCAGCAGUAAUAAAAAUUAAGCCAUAAGCGACCAAUAUUCUAUAAAGCUAGACUUAGUUAUGGUUCCAAGGGCCGGUCAACCUCGUGCCAGCCGCCGCGGUUAUACGAAGAGCCCAAGAUAACAGAACACGGCGUAAAUAGUGACUAAAAUAUAAAGCCUCCUAAUAAGAAAAAAACAAAACCCUGAACGUAAAACCAAGGGCUAAAGAAACUACUGUUCUUUAAGAAAGCUAUUUGAUUCACGAAAGUCGGGAAACAAACUAGGAUUAGAUACCCUACUAUGCCCAACUAUAAAUUGACACUACAAACUACUAGUGUUCGCCAGAAUAUUACAGGUGAAAAGCCUAAAACUCAAAAGACUUGGCGGUGCUUUAAAUCAAAUUAGAGGAGCCUGUCCUACAAUCGAUAACCCACGUUAAACCUAACCGUCUUUUGCCAAAAUCAGCCUAUAUACCGCCGUCCCCAACUUACACUGUGAAGAAGAAAUAGUAAGUACAAAAGUCUGACACAAAAAAAUCAGGUCAAGGUGUAGCUAAUAAGACGGCAGAGAUGGGCUACAUUUUUUAAAAUUAAAAUACACGACAAGACACUUUGAAAAAAGUCUCUGAAGGUGGAUUUAAUAGUAAAAUAAGCAAGAAAGCUUAUUUUAAACCUGCUCUGAAGCGCGCACACACCGCCCGUCACCCUCCUCAACAACUACAAUAAAUUCAUAAUUAUAAACCACUAAAAAGAUGAGGCAAGUCGUAACAUGGUAAGCGCACUGGAAAGUGUGCUUAGACAAACAAAAAGUAGCUUAAAAUAAAGCAUUCAACUUACAAUUGAACAAUGUUAAAACCUUUUUGCGCUAAUAUUUUAACCUAACUACCCAAACAAACAUAAACUUAAACAAAACAAACCAUUUGAUAAGCCCAGUAGAGGAGAUCGAAC